UGGGGAAUAUUGCACAAUGGGCGCAAGCCUGAUGCAGCCAUGCCGCGUGUAUGAUGAAGGCCUUCGGGUUGUAAAGUACUUUCAGCGAGGAGGAAGGCGUUGUGGUUAAUAACCGCAACGAUUGACGUUACUCGCAGAAGAAGCACCGGCUAACUCCGUGCCAGCAGCCGCGGUAAUACGGAGGGUGCAAGCGUUAAUCGGAAUUACUGGGCGUAAAGCGCACGCAGGCGGUCUGUCAAGUCGGAUGUGAAAUCCCCGGGCUCAACCUGGGAACUGCAUCCGAAACUGGCAGGCUAGAGUCUUGUAGAGGGGGGUAGAAUUCCAGGUGUAGCGGUGAAAUGCGUAGAGAUCUGGAGGAAUACCGGUGGCGAAGGCGGCCCCCUGGACAAAGACUGACGCUCAGGUGCGAAAGCGUGGGGAGCAAACA
Molecule: ribosomal RNA, 427 nt
Filed under: uncultured bacterium
Lineage: Bacteria
Description: partial 16S ribosomal RNA
Rfam family: Bacterial small subunit ribosomal RNA
Source: RNAcentral